UUCCGGUUGAUCCUGCCGGAGGCGACCGCUUUUGGAGUUCGAUUAAGCCAUGCGAGUCGAGAGCCUUAGGGGCUCGGCAUACUGCUCAGUAACACGUGGAUAACCUGCCCUAUUGUCUGGAAUAACCUCGGGAAACUGAGAACAAGGCCGGAUAACCCACAAUACCUGGAACGGUUUGUGGGUGAAGAUAGGAUGGGUCUGCGGCGUAUCAGGUCGUAGGGGGUGUAAUGGACCUCCUAGCCAUCGACGCGUACGGGUGUUGGGAGACAUAGCCCGGAGAUGGAUUCUGAGACACGAAUCCAGACCCUACGGGGUGCAGCAGGCGCGAAAACUUCACACUGCAGGAAACUGUGAUGAGGGAACUCCAAGUGCAUGCACUAUGUGUAUGCUUUUCUUAACUAUUAAUCGGUUUUGGAAUAAGGGCUGGGAAAGACCGGUGCCAGCCGCCGCGGUAAUACCGGCAGCUCAAGUGGUCGUCGCUUUUAUUGGGCCUAAAACGUCCGUAGCCUGUUUGGUAAAUCUGUGGGUAAAUCAACCAGCUUAACUGGUUGAAUUCUGCAGAGACUGCCAGACUAGGGACCGGGAGAGGUGUGGGGUACUCUAGGGGUAGGGGUAAAAUCCUGUCAUCCUUAGAGGACCACCAGUUGCGAAGGCGCCACACUGGAACGGAUCCGACGGUCAGGGACGAAGCCUAGGGGCACGAACCGGAUUAGAUACCCGGGUAGUCCUAGGUGUAAACGCUGUGAACUUGGUGUCGGGGAUCCGUAAUGGGUUCUCGGUGCCGGAGUGAAGAUGUUAAGUUCACUGCCUGGGGAGUACGGUCGCAAGGCUGAAACUUAAAGGAAUUGGCGGGGGAGCACUGCAACGGGAGGAGCGUGCGGUUUAAUUGGAUUCAACGCCGGA
RNAcentral lists this ribosomal RNA (903 nucleotides) under uncultured archaeon. RNAcentral's name for it is "bacterial SSU rRNA". It matches the Rfam family "Archaeal small subunit ribosomal RNA", at positions 1 to 922 of the family's 1478-position model. The record is from RNAcentral.